GGUUAAGCGACUAAGCGUACACGGUGGAUGCCCUGGCAGUCAGAGGCGAUGAAGGACGUGCUAAUCUGCGAAAAGCGCCGGCGAGGUGAUAUGAACCCUUGACCCGGCGAUGUCCGAAUGGGGAAACCCAGUGCAAUCCGUUGCACUAUCGUUAACUGAAUACAUAGGUUAACGAGGCGAACCGGGGGAACUGAAACAUCUAAGUACCCCGAGGAAAAGAAAUCAACCGAGAUUCCCCCAGUAGCGGCGAGCGAACGGGGAGCAGCCCGGAGUCUGAAUCAGCUUGUGUGUUAGUGGAACGGUCUGGAAAGUCCGACGGUACAGGGUGAUAGUCCCGUACACGAAAGCACACAUGCUGUGAACUCGAAGAGUAGGGCGGGACACGUGGUAUCCUGUCUGAAUAUGGGGGGACCAUCCUCCAAGGCUAAAUACUCCUGACUGACCGAUAGUGAACCAGUACCGUGAGGGAAAGGCGAAAAGAACCCCGGCGAGGGGAGUGAAAAAGAACCUGAAACCGUGUACGUACAAGCAGUGGGAGCCUCUUUAUGGGGUGACUGCGUACCUUUUGUAUAAUGGGUCAGCGACUUAUAUUCUGUAGCAAGGUUAACCGUAUAGGGGAGCCGAAGGGAAACCGAGUCUUAACUGGGCGUUAAGUUGCAGGGUAUAGACCCGAAACCCGGUGAUCUAGCCAUGGGCAGGUUGAAGGUUGGGUAACACUAACUGGAGGACCGAACCGACUAAUGUUGAAAAAUUAGCGGAUGACCUGUGGCUGGGGGUGAAAGGCCAAUCAAACCGGGAGAUAGCUGGUUCUCCCCGAAAGCUAUUUAGGUAGCGCCUCGUGAACUCAUCUUCGGGGGUAGAGCACUGUUUCGGCUAGGGGGCCAUCCCGGCUUACCAACCCGAUGCAAACUACGAAUACCGAAGAAUGUUAUCACGGGAGACACACGGCGGGUGCUAACGUCCGUCGUGAAGAGGGAAACAACCCAGACCGCCAGCUAAGGUCCCAAAGUCAUGGUUAAGUGGGAAACGAUGUGGGAAGGCACAGACAGCCAGGAUGUUGGCUUAGAAGCAGCCAUCAUUUAAAGAAAGCGUAAUAGCUCACUGGUCGAGUCGGCCUGCGCGGAAGAUGUAACGGGGCUAAACCAUGCACCGAAGCUGCGGCAGCGACACUAUGUGUUGUUGGGUAGGGGAGCGUUCUGUAAGCCGUUGAAGGUGUGCUGUGAGGCAUGCUGGAGGUAUCAGAAGUGCGAAUGCUGACAUAAGUAACGAUAAAGCGGGUGAAAAGCCCGCUCGCCGGAAGACCAAGGGUUCCUGUCCAACGUUAAUCGGGGCAGGGUGAGUCGACCCCUAAGGCGAGGCCGAAAGGCGUAGUCGAUGGGAAACAGGUUAAUAUUCCUGUACUUGGUGUUACUGCGAAGGGGGGACGGAGAAGGCUAUGUCAGCCGGGCGACGGUUGUCCCGGUUUAAGCAUGUAGGCGGAGGUUCCAGGUAAAUCCGGUACCUUAUUAACGCUGAGGUGUGAUGACGAGGCACUACGGUGCUGAAGUGAUAAAUGCCCUGCUUCCAGGAAAAGCCUCUAAGCAUCAGGUAACACGAAAUCGUACCCCAAACCGACACAGGUGGUCAGGUAGAGAAUACCAAGGCGCUUGAGAGAACUCGGGUGAAGGAACUAGGCAAAAUGGUGCCGUAACUUCGGGAGAAGGCACGCUGAUAUGUAGGUGAAGCCCCUGCGGGCGGAGCUGAAAUCAGUCGAAGAUACCAGCUGGCUGCAACUGUUUAUUAAAAACACAGCACUGUGCAAACACGAAAGUGGACGUAUACGGUGUGACGCCUGCCCGGUGCCGGAAGGUUAAUUGAUGGGGUUAGCGGCAACGCGAAGCUCUUGAUCGAAGCCCCGGUAAACGGCGGCCGUAACUAUAACGGUCCUAAGGUAGCGAAAUUCCUUGUCGGGUAAGUUCCGACCUGCACGAAUGGCGUAAUGAUGGCCAGGCUGUCUCCACCCGAGACUCAGUGAAAUUGAACUCGCUGUGAAGAUGCAGUGUACCCGCGGCAAGACGGAAAGACCCCGUGAACCUUUACUAUAGCUUGACACUGAACACUGGUCCUUGAUGUGUAGGAUAGGUGGGAGGCUUUGAAGCGUGGACGCCAGUCUGCGUGGAGCCAACCUUGAAAUACCACCCUUUAAUGGCUGGUGUUCUAACGUAGACCCGUAAUCCGGGUUGCGGACAGUGUCUGGUGGGUAGUUUGACUGGGGCGGUCUCCUCCCAAAGAGUAACGGAGGAGCACGAAGGUUGGCUAAUCCUGGUCGGACAUCAGGAGGUUAGUGCAAUGGCAUAAGCCAGCUUGACUGCGAGCGUGACGGCGCGAGCAGGUGCGAAAGCAGGUCAUAGUGAUCCGGUGGUUCUGAAUGGAAGGGCCAUCGCUCAACGGAUAAAAGGUACUCCGGGGAUAACAGGCUGAUACCGCCCAAGAGUUCAUAUCGACGGCGGUGUUUGGCACCUCGAUGUCGGCUCAUCACAUCCUGGGGCUGAAGUAGGUCCCAAGGGUAUGGCUGUUCGCCAUUUAAAGUGGUACGCGAGCUGGGUUUAGAACGUCGUGAGACAGUUCGGUCCCUAUCUGCCGUGGGCGCUGGAGAAUUGAGGGGGGCUGCUCCUAGUACGAGAGGACCGGAGUGGACGCAUCACUGGUGUUCGGGUUGUCAUGCCAAUGGCACUGCCCGGUAGCUAAAUGCGGAAGAGAUAAGUGCUGAAAGCAUCUAAGCACGAAACUUGCCCCGAGAUGAGUUCUCCCUGAGACUUUAAGUCUCCUGAAGGAACGUUGAAGACGACGACGUUGAUAGGUCGGGUGUGUAAGCGCAGCGAUGCGUUGAGCUAACCGAUACUAAUGAACCGUGAGGCUUAACCUU
This 2905-nucleotide ribosomal RNA is filed under the name Enterobacter hormaechei subsp. xiangfangensis. RNAcentral describes it as "23S ribosomal RNA". It matches the Rfam family "Bacterial large subunit ribosomal RNA". RNAcentral also lists the same sequence under 1 other name. Lineage: Bacteria; Pseudomonadati; Pseudomonadota; Gammaproteobacteria; Enterobacterales; Enterobacteriaceae. The record is from RNAcentral.